Molecule: ribosomal RNA, 554 nt
Filed under: uncultured Colwellia sp.
Lineage: Bacteria; Pseudomonadati; Pseudomonadota; Gammaproteobacteria; Alteromonadales; Colwelliaceae
Description: bacterial SSU rRNA
Rfam family: Bacterial small subunit ribosomal RNA
Source: RNAcentral
AGAGUUUGAUCCUGGCUCAGAUUGAACGCUGGCGGCAGGCUUAACACAUGCAAGUCGAGCGGUAACAGAGAUAGCUUGCUAUCUGCUGACGAGCGGCGGACGGGUGAGUAAUGCUUGGGAAUAUGCCUUUGAGUGGGGGACAACAGUUGGAAACGACUGCUAAUACCGCAUAACGUCUACGGACCAAAGGGGGGGACGCUUCGGCACCUCUCGCUCAUUGAUUAGCCCAAGUGAGAUUAGCUAGUUGGUAAGGUAAUGGCUUACCAAGGCGACGAUCUCUAGCUGGUUUGAGAGGAUGAUCAGCCACACUGGGACUGAGACACGGCCCAGACUCCUACGGGAGGCAGCAGUGGGGAAUAUUGCACAAUGGGCGAAAGCCUGAUGCAGCCAUGCCGCGUGUGUGAAGAAGGCCUUCGGGUUGUAAAGCACUUUCAGCGAGGAGGAAAGGUUAGUAGUUAAUAACUGCUAGCUGUGACGUUACUCGCAGAAGAAGCACCGGCCUAACUUUCGUGCCAGCAGCCGCCGGUAAUACGAGGGGGGUGCAAGGCGGUUAA